This 73-nucleotide transfer RNA is filed under the name Paramuricea clavata. It matches the Rfam family "tRNA". From Rfam's summary of the family: Transfer RNA (tRNA) molecules are approximately 80 nucleotides in length. Their secondary structure includes four short double-helical elements and three loops (D, anti-codon, and T loops). Lineage: Eukaryota; Metazoa; Cnidaria; Anthozoa; Malacalcyonacea; Plexauridae. The record is from Rfam by way of RNAcentral.
GACCGCGUAGCUCAGUUGGAAGAGCAUUGGGCUAGUAUUCCAAAGGUCGUAGGUUCGAAUCCUACCGUGGUCG